Tolypothrix campylonemoides VB511288 is the source of this 91-nucleotide non-coding RNA. The record is from Rfam. Lineage: Bacteria; Bacillati; Cyanobacteriota; Cyanophyceae; Nostocales; Tolypothrichaceae.
GAGAGCCGUGAUGCUCCGAAAGGCGCAAGUCCGGUUCGGGGAGGGGCGAACAGAAAAGUACUAUUAGUAACUCGCUGGUCGCCUACUCUAC